UGCGUAGGCGGCGUAUCAAGUUGGUAGCGUAAUUCCGUGGCUCAACCGCGGCGCUACUACCAAAACUGGUAUGCUUGAGUGUGGCAGGGGUAUGUGGAAUUCCUAGUGUAGCGGUGGAAUGCGUAGAUAUUAGGAGGAACACCAGAGGCGAAGGCGAGUUACUGGACUGUAACUGACACUGAGGCACGAAAGCGUGGGGAGCAAACA
This 207-nucleotide ribosomal RNA is filed under the name uncultured bacterium. Its description in RNAcentral is "partial 16S ribosomal RNA". It matches the Rfam family "Bacterial small subunit ribosomal RNA", at positions 568 to 774 of the family's 1533-position model. The record is from RNAcentral.